GCAUAUCAAUAAGCGGAGGAAAAGAAACCAACAGGGAUUGCCCCAGUAACGGCGAGUGAAGCGGCAACAGCUCAAAUUUGAAAUCUGGCGUCUUCGGCGUCCGAGUUGUAAUUUGCAGAGGGUGCCUCGGGUGGAGCACCGGUCCAAGUCCCUUGGAACAGGAUACCGCAGAGGGUGAGAGUCCCGUAUCCGGCCGGUCGUGUCCCCCGCUGUGAGGCCCCUUCGACGAGUCGAGUUGUUUGGGAAUGCAGCUCUAAAUGGGUGGUAAAUUCCAUCUAAAGCUAAAUACUGGCCAGAGACCGAUAGCGCACAAGUAGAGUGAUCGAAAGAUGAAAAGCACUUUGAAAAGAGAGUCAAACAGUACGUGAAAUUGUUGAAAGGGAAGCGUAUACGGCCAGACUUGGCCGCGGAUGCUCAGCCCGUCUUCUGGCGGGUGCACUCUUCCGCGGACAGGCCAGCAUCGGUUUGGGCGGCCGGACAACGGCGCUGGGAAUGUGGCACCCCUCGGGGUGUGUUAUAGCCCGGCGUGCAAUGCGGCCAGCCCGGACCGAGGACCGCGCAUUGCUAGGAUGCUGGCGUAAUGGCCUUAUACGGCCCGUCUUGAAACACGGACCAAGGAGUCUAACAUCUAUGCGAGUGUUUGGGUGUCAAGCCCGGACGCGCAAUGAAAGUGAACGGAGGUGGGAGCUUCGGCGCACCAUCGACCGAUCCUGAUGUCUUCGGAAGGAUUUGAGUAAGAGCAUAGCUGUUGGGACCCGAAAGAUGGUGAACUAUGCGUGAAUAGGGUGAAGCCAGAGGAAACUCUGGUGGAGGCUCGCAGCGGUUCUGACGUGCAAAUCGAUCGUCAAAUUUGCGUAUAGGGGGCGAAAGACUAAUCGAACCAUCUAGUAGCUGGUUCCUGC
RNAcentral lists this ribosomal RNA (902 nucleotides) under Pinaceicola cordae. RNAcentral's name for it is "LSU rRNA". It matches the Rfam family "Eukaryotic large subunit ribosomal RNA", at positions 38 to 961 of the family's 3401-position model. Lineage: Eukaryota; Fungi; Ascomycota; Dothideomycetes; Venturiales; Sympoventuriaceae. The record is from RNAcentral.